RNAcentral lists this ribosomal RNA (301 nucleotides) under uncultured bacterium. RNAcentral describes it as "partial 16S ribosomal RNA". It matches the Rfam family "Bacterial small subunit ribosomal RNA", at positions 509 to 807 of the family's 1533-position model. The record is from RNAcentral.
CAGUCGCCGCGGUAAUACGUAGGGUGCGAGCGUUAAUCGGAAUUACUGGGCGUAAAGCGUGCGCAGGCGGUUAUAUAAGACAGAUGUGAAAUCCCCGGGCUCAACCUGGGACCUGCAUUUGUGACUGUAUAGCUAGAGUACGGUAGAGGGGGAUGGAAUUCCGCGUGUAGCAGUGAAAUGCGUAGAUAUGCGGAGGAACACCGAUGGCGAAGGCAAUCCCCUGGACCUGUACUGACGCUCAUGCACGAAAACGUGGGGAGCAAACAGGAUUAGAUACCCCAGUAGUCCCUGUCUCUUAUAC